Long non-coding RNA from Amblyraja radiata (thorny skate), 627 nucleotides. RefSeq lists it as uncharacterized. The record is from RefSeq and is a predicted model, not a curated record. The transcript has 2 exons. Lineage: Eukaryota; Metazoa; Chordata; Chondrichthyes; Rajiformes; Rajidae.
CAAUGUGCUGACAAAGCCCAAUAUAAACACAAAGUAAAAACACUUCUGUCGGGGCAUGUUGCAGCCUUUGUGAAUCCAUGUUGAAUUCACAAUUUCAGAUAAACUAGUCGGUGUUAGAACUAGUUAGUUCUGAUGCAAGGUCAUGCCCCAAAUUCAUUAUCGUGAUUAUUCUCCCCACGGAUGCUACAUGAUUUGCUGAAAAUUUCAUCUUUGUAUCUAUUCAGGGACUCUUUGGCCAACCUAAAUGACUUUGCCAUUGCCAUCACAGACUUCGUCAGUGGAUGUGCAGAGGAACAUGUGCCAAAGAAGCCAAUGUGAGUGGUCCCCAACCCUGAGGUCCAUUCCCAGGUGAAGUUCAAGUUGACCAUCUCAAAGCCAUCAAGUGUGCCGAGAGAGAAUUCUGGACAAAGCUAGAAUCCUGGGAUAACUAAUCAGACACCCAUUCCAAAGCCAGCAUGCUAGAACAGACCAUAAAGUCAAGAUGGGCAGUAUCGAUUGUAGUAAUACGUCCCUCCCCAAUGAGCUUGGUGCAUCUAUGAUCUCUUUGACUAAAAGAUCGCAAUGCACUUCUACAUGAUCAAAGGCAGCCAAUAAACAACUAAAAUAUGAAAAUAAAGUGAAAUAAAC